GGAACCCCAUCAACAGCUGGAGCUCACGCUCAGUGUUUCCAACUGACUUCACUGCACUACACUGAGUACACAGUAACUACUACAAAGAUGAAUACGAUCAAUAGCAAGAAGAAGAAUGCUAAUAAAGAAAACAAGAGAAAAUGGAACAACAUAACGGCAACAACUUUGGUUGAAAUGUGGCAGCAACGACCCUGUAUUUUCGACGUGUCCACAAAGGAGUUCCACGAUAGGGUGAAGGGAUGCAGCCUGGCGAGAAUAAGCCGACGCCCUUGACCUACCCGGUUGGGCUCUACCGGAGAGGGCGAGACUUCGCCACUCUAUUGACAUACCUGUCGAGAAGAAAGCAAGCAACUUCAGCGUCCCUU
Molecule: long non-coding RNA, 365 nt
Organism: Gadus morhua (Atlantic cod)
Lineage: Eukaryota; Metazoa; Chordata; Actinopteri; Gadiformes; Gadidae
Exons: 2
Source: RefSeq, a predicted model, not a curated record